Molecule: unclassified non-coding RNA, 1121 nt
Filed under: leaf metagenome
Description: partial contains internal transcribed spacer 1, 5.8S ribosomal RNA, internal transcribed spacer 2, and large subunit ribosomal RNA
Rfam family: Eukaryotic large subunit ribosomal RNA (bases 533-1121)
Source: RNAcentral
UUACAACGAAACGGCGCCCUCACCGGCGCCGGUUCUCAAACCACUGCGUAUGAAGCUCUCGAGGUUGCCUCCCGGCUGGCGUGCGGCUCCCGCGCGCCCGCCGGGGGGGUCAACAGCCCGAGACUCGUUUCCUUCGCGGGGUACCCCCCCGCGGCAGGACGCUACCAAACAUUUUGUCAAGAUGUCAUCGUCUGAACCUAUUGAAAAAAUAGAAAAUACAACUUUUAACAAUGGAUCUCUUGGCUCCGGCAUCGAUGAAGAACGCAGCGAAAUGCGAUAACUAGUGUGAAUUGCAGAUUUCAGUGAAUCAUCGAGUCUUUGAACGCACAUUGCGCCUCUUGGUAUUCCUCGAGGCAUGCCUGUUCGAGCGUCGUUUCACCCCUCAAGCGCAAGCUUGGUGUUGGGGAUCGCCCCUGAAAUACGGCGGCGGCCCUUAAAUGCAUCGGCGGAGCUGGUACCAGCCCGGAGCGCAGCAGACAUGCAGCUUCCAGGCGACCUGGCCCCCGCCGGACAACGAAACUUUUAUACGUGUCGACCUCGAAUCAGGUAAGGAUACCCGCUGAACUUAAGCAUAUCAAUAAGCGGAGGAAAAGAAACCAACAGGGAUUGCCUUAGUAACGGCGAGUGAAGCGGCAACAGCUCAAAUUUGAAAUCUGGCGUCUUUGGCGUCCGAGUUGUAAUUUGUAGAGGAUGCUUCGGCGUAGGCGCCGCCUAAAGUUCCUUGGAACGGGACGUCGUAGAAGGUGAUAGCCCUGUGACAGGGCGGAUGCCGUCGCCAUGUGAAGCUCCUUCGACGAGUCGAGUUGUUUGGGAAUGCAGCUCAAAACGGGAGGUAAAUUUCUUCUAAAGCUAAAUACCGGCCGGAGACCGAUAGUGCACAAGUAGAGUGAUCGAAAGAUGAAAAGCACUUUGGAAAGAGAGUCAAACAGCGCGUGAAAUUGUUAAAAGGGAAGCGCUUGCGGUCAGAACUUGGCCGCCGUUGCUCGGGGAGGUCUCGUGCCUCCCUCGCUCUUCGGCGGCUGGGCCAGCAUCGGUUCGGGCGGCUCGAUAAAGGCCGCGGGAACGUAGCUCCCUCCGGGGAGUGUUAUAGCCCGCGGCGGAAUGGGGCCCGCCUGGAUCGA